UACGGGAGGCAGCAGUGGGGAAUAUUGCACAAUGGGCGCAAGCCUGAUGCAGCCAUGCCGCGUGUAUGAAAAAGGCCUUCGGGUUGUAAAGUACUUUCAGUCGUGAGGAAGGUGUUAAGGUUAAUAACCUUAGCAAUUGACGUUAGCGACAGAAGAAGCACCGGCUAACUCCGUGCCAGCAGCCGCGGUAAUACGGAGGGUGCGAGCGUUAAUCGGAAUUACUGGGCGUAAAGGGCACGCAGGCGGUUAAUUAAGUUGGAUGUGAAAUCCCCGGGCUUAACCUGGGAAUGGCAUUCAAGACUGGUUAGCUAGAGCCUUGUAGAGGGGGUAGAAUUCCAUGUGUAGCGGUGAAAUGCGUAGAGAUGUGGAGGAAUACCGGUGGCGAAGGCGGCCCCUGGCAAAGGACUGACGCUCAUGUGCGAAAGCGUGGGGAGCAAAC
This 439-nucleotide ribosomal RNA is filed under the name uncultured bacterium. RNAcentral describes it as "bacterial SSU rRNA". It matches the Rfam family "Bacterial small subunit ribosomal RNA", at positions 340 to 773 of the family's 1533-position model. The record is from RNAcentral.